CAACACAAUGUCCUUACCAUCAACUAAUUUGUCAACAACUGCUAGUUGGUUAGCAAGUACUUUUACCUUGUUAACAUGAGCCAUGAGGUCAUUUCUUUCUUCCAUCUUUACUGUCAAGAACUUCCUCCUUGUCCAAAGGAUGUUGGCAAGGUUUCUACUCUCAUAAAUGUUACAAAGAGUCUUCGAUGCUUCCAUUGGUCCAUUACAAACUAUAACAUGUGAAAAGUUGGCAUCAUCAAGGUUUAUUGCAAUCAUCCCAAAAGCCUUCCUUUUAUGACGUUUGUACUCCUUCUUCACCUUGAUAUCACCAUUGUCACUUGGAGGGUCUUCACUUUCAUCAAUAAUGUCUCAAAGAUCCAAUGAAGCCAACAAAAGCUCCAUU
This 382-nucleotide long non-coding RNA is filed under the name Physcomitrium patens. Its description in RNAcentral is "long non-coding RNA (PPAT_LNC007627)". The record is from RNAcentral. Lineage: Eukaryota; Viridiplantae; Streptophyta; Bryopsida; Funariales; Funariaceae.